GUCAGGCAGCGACGGGGGCGAAAGCAGCAGAGCCGGGAGGCGUAGGGCUCGGGCCGGCCUCCUGCACCGCACACUCAACCGUGCUCGCAGCUCGCUGCCCCCGGGGGUGCGGGAGUCCGUGUGUGCCGCUGCGGCCCUGCCUGGAGGCACCUCCAGAGGCCCGGGCUGCUGUCACCUGCAGCUGGCCGACAGAGGGCGCCAUCUGACAGGGCUGUGUCCGGCAGUCCAGCCGCCUCUAGGUGCCGUGGGAGGGGCCUCCGGCGGGCUGCUCAGUGCCCUGUCCGUGGGUGCCCUGCCGCUCCGCUCCGUUGGAGGGAACGGGCUGGAAGGAUGUUCCAGAGAGACAGAGCACGAGCGGGGGAGGGGCAGACAGAGAGGGAGACAGACUCCGAAGCGGGCUCCAGGCCCUGGGCUGUCAACACAGAGCCCGAUGCGGGACUCAAACCCACCAACCGUGAGAUCAUCACCUGAGCCGAAGUCGGUGCUCAACCAGCUGAGCCACCCAGGUGCCCCUCUCCUCGUUUCUUUAAAGCAGGAUCUUUAAUGGCCACUUAAAAUUCCUAAUGAACAUGUUAACGGCCCCCCACCUCUCUGGGCCACCCUCCUUGGCCCUCCAUUUCUGGCUGUGUCUUUUCGGCUGCAGGACUGCAGUGCCCUGGGAGUCCCCACUUGCCCCUUCGGGGACUUCUGGACACCCAUCCCCCUGGGUGAGUCGGACCUCACAACCGGGGGGACAUGCAGGGGCCACCGGCCAUGCUCCGUCCUGUCUGCAGCGGGCCGUCCGGUCCCCCUCUUCGGGCGCCCGAGGAAGGAGAUGAGCUACAAUUGGCCUGCGCUUUGACUGGGAUUUAUUUUAUUAUGUUUAAUUGAAAAGCUUUGAGGUCGUGGCAUGAAUAUUCAGCACGGUGGCUGCUGGCACGGGAGCUGGUGUCUGAUUCUAGGACGCGCCCCAGCACGGGGCCUGUCAGAGGGGGAGUGAGGUGGGGAAGCUAUUAAUUGAAAUAGCUUCAUUAAUUAGUAAUUAACAGCAGGGAAAUGACUGUGUCACACGUCCUAUUUCAGUGGAUGCCCUUCAUGUGUUAUGGGGCCUUUAAUUAAAGGACGUGCAUUUUAAUUAAAGGCAAGCUUGGCCCUUUGGCCUUUGGAAUACAAAAGACACUCCCAACUUUGAAAGAAGCUGGCGGGGAGGCUGGUGCCGGUGGCGGGGGAGCUGUGUUCUCCGUCGCCGACCAGCCCCUUGUGGGGCAGUGGACCCUGGCUGGUCCUCCUUGGAGUCUAGCUGAUGCCCUUCCUGAGCCCGAGG
Molecule: long non-coding RNA, 1303 nt
Filed under: Felis catus (domestic cat)
Lineage: Eukaryota; Metazoa; Chordata; Mammalia; Carnivora; Felidae
Description: lncRNA (ENSFCAG00000046946.1)
Source: RNAcentral